AAAAUAUUCCGUGUAUAGUAGAAAAUCGAAAAUUUGUUUUCAAUAAAAUGAAAUACCUGCAGUUAUCAGACGUCGCAACUCAUUUCUGAUUAGUGCGCAUGAUAGUACAUCCAUGCGUGCAUGAUGCGCACUACUAAUGAAAUAUUUCAAAUUGUCGCGAGUGCUCAAUCGCGCGGUCCGGUUUGGUGCCGGCCCGACAAUAAAAAAAUCGAACAGUCAAAGUGCAGGACUCUUCGUUCUUCCUGCUCUUUUAAAUUCUGCUAGUGGUUGAAUGGAUCAUUGGCUGCUGUGCCUUGUAAUGGUGAACUAUGAAGCUCACUGGAAACCAUUUAAUCAACGUUUUCCAUUACAGAACAGCCGUCAUACCCACCGCUGAUAAAGGCGCAUCUCCACGGAAGUUCUAAAGCAUGAUUAAUUGGAAAGGAUGCCGAAAGACAGCGGCCACAAUCAGCGCCGCCAUAUACGAACAUCACCAUUCUUCACCAGCAGCAACACUUAUGCUACGUUUAGACAAGGCAAAUGAAUUGAGCAAGUCGCUUGAAUCGAACGCAAAUUGAGCGUGUAAACACCUUAAUUCAAAUCCCUUGAACGAAAAGAAAGUUGAACAUGUUCAACUUUUGGCAAGUCAAUUGAAUUCAACUGAGUUGUUGCAUUAUGCUACGUUUUGACAGGGCAAGUGAAUUGAACAACUCAGAUGAAUUCAAUUGACUUGCCAAAAGUUGAACAUGUUCAAUCUUUUCAAAUCAAAGAAAUAAAAUAAAAGGUAAAACAAUUAAUUGUAUUGAAUUUCUAUUGUUAUAUUUGUGUGAAAUCGUGUGAAAUGUAUUACAAAUGGUAUUGUAUUUUUACUGUAAACAAAUAAAAAACGUUAUAAAAACAU
Molecule: long non-coding RNA, 880 nt
Organism: Armigeres subalbatus
Lineage: Eukaryota; Metazoa; Arthropoda; Insecta; Diptera; Culicidae
Exons: 3
Source: RefSeq, a predicted model, not a curated record